AGGAUCAUUAUUGGAUUAGCUAGUAGAUUGUUGCUGGCUAGCAUCUAGCAUGUGCACAUCUAUGCUUUUACACACACACCCGUGCACCUUAUUGUAGAUCGCGAGAUCUAUGUCUUUUCACCCCAUACAAUGUAUGUCUACAGAAUGUAUUUUUAUUACAACUUUCAGCAAUGGAUCUCUUGGUUCUCGCAUCGAUGAAGAACGCAGCGAAUUGCGAUAAGUAAUGUGAAUUGCAGAUUUUCAGUGAAUCAUCGAAUCUUUGAACGCACCUUGCGCUCCUUGGUAUUCCGAGGAGCAUGCCUGUUUGAGUAUCAUUUUAAUCAAUCAAACCAAUCGAUCACUUGAUUGGCUUGGACUUGGGAUUUGCUGGCUUGUCAUCUAGUCGGCUGUCCUUAAAAGCAUUAGCGAGCGUUAAUCUACAUGCACGGCCUUUCGACGUGAUAAAGAUCGUCGUGGGCUGGAAGUGUAGUAUCUUGCUUCCAAAGUUAGUCGACCAGUAAGGUUGAUAACCAACCAUGAAAUUAGCAAUCAGCAAUGGUUUCGAUUAGUACUACCGAUCUAGCAAGCGAAAGCGAAUUUGUCUACCAUGUGUAUACGGCCUUGACCGCUGGAAGCAUAGUAAAUCUGAAGCUUAGCUAGCUUAUUGAUUAGGAAA
This 655-nucleotide ribosomal RNA is filed under the name Boletaceae sp. MHM160. RNAcentral describes it as "eukaryotic LSU rRNA". The stretch from base 160 to 314 matches the Rfam family "5.8S ribosomal RNA". Lineage: Eukaryota; Fungi; Basidiomycota; Agaricomycetes; Boletales; Boletaceae. The record is from RNAcentral.